GACAGAGGGGGCAAGCGUUGCUCGGAAUUACUGGGCGUAAAGGGCGCGUAGGCGGGAUGGCAAGUCGGUCGUGAAAUCCCUCGGCUCAACCGAGGAACGUCGAUCGAUACUGCUGUUCUUGAGGAUUGCAGAGGAGACUGGAAUUCCCGGUGUAGCGGUGAAAUGUGUAGAGAUCGGGAGGAACACCGGUGGCGAAGGCGAGUCUCUGGGCAAUUCCUGACGCUGAGGCGCGAAAGCGUGGGGAGCAAACGGG
RNAcentral lists this ribosomal RNA (253 nucleotides) under uncultured bacterium. Its description in RNAcentral is "partial 16S ribosomal RNA". It matches the Rfam family "Bacterial small subunit ribosomal RNA", at positions 524 to 776 of the family's 1533-position model. The record is from RNAcentral.